UACGUAGGGUGCGAGCGUUAAUAGGAAUUACUGGGCGUAAAGUGUGCGCAGGCGGCCGAGCAAGUCGAGUGUGAAAGCCCCGAGCUUAACUUGGGAACUGCGCUCGAAACUACUUGGCUAGAGUGUGGCAGAGGGAGGUGGAAUUCCACGUGUAGCGGUGAAAUGCGUAGAGAUGUGGAGGAACACCGAUGGCGAAGGCAGCCUCCUGGGCCAACACUGACGCUCAUGCACGAAAGCGUGGGGAGCAAACAGG
This 253-nucleotide ribosomal RNA is filed under the name uncultured bacterium. Its description in RNAcentral is "partial 16S ribosomal RNA". It matches the Rfam family "Bacterial small subunit ribosomal RNA", at positions 524 to 776 of the family's 1533-position model. The record is from RNAcentral.